RNAcentral lists this long non-coding RNA (473 nucleotides) under Homo sapiens (human). RNAcentral describes it as "novel transcript". Lineage: Eukaryota; Metazoa; Chordata; Mammalia; Primates; Hominidae. The record is from RNAcentral.
GGCUACUAGAAAAUUUAGCUGGGUGAGGUGGUUCACACCUGUAAUCCCAGCACUUUGGGAGGCCAAGACAUUUCCCUACAUACCUAGAAUUUUGUUUACGAUGAACAGAAUGUUGGGUAAGAGUCUCUUGAGCUGAAACAGUUACACCCCCGCAGCUGGGAAAAGCUAUUCCCUCUGCAUUAGGCCAACGGGAAGCCCACACCUCCUGAUACAACCCAUACCACGGUUGCCUUCCCCUCCUGGAUGUCACAGAGAAGGAUUUAAAAAUGACUCCCGGCCAGCAUGGUGUCUCAUGCUCAGCACAUUGGGAGGCCUAGACGGGAAGAUUGCUUGAGGGCAGCAGUUCAAGGCAAGCCUGGGCAACAUAGGGAGACCCUGUCCCUAUUAUUUUUUUUUUUGAUGUUAAAAAAAAUUUAAUUUAAUUAAAUAAAAAUGGUUCCCAAGUCAAAGAGAAUAAAGAACCACAGAAGUUA